AAAAAAGAAUGACUCCUAGACUUUUGGUCCCAGCCAGAUGGUGGUGCUUUUUCCUGAGAUGAGGAAGAGAAGGAAGAAGAAAAUAUUUGGAAACGAUACAGAGUUCAUCUUUGGACAUGUUAAAUUUGAGGUGUUAAAUGAGAAAAUGCACAUUUUGAGGUGUCUCCUAAAGAAAAUGUCAAGUAGAUGUUUUGAUAGUCUUUGAAUCUGGAGCUAGGGGAGAGAUUGAAACUGAAGAUAAGGAGCUAAGAAUAUGUAUAGGUCCAAUGGCCUGAGUGCGAUUCCUACACGGUGAAUAUAGAAGGCUUGAGGACUGAGCUCUAAGGCCCUCUGGCAUUUAUAAAUUACAAUGAGAAGGAAGACCAGUAAAGAAGUCUAAAACCAGUUCAGCAGGAGGAAAGCAAUGAAAGAAUGGCAUUCCAGAAACAAAGGAAAGAAAGUUUUUAUAGAAUCAGUGGAGUAGGCAGAGUAAUGACCCCUGAAAGAUGUCAGGUCCUAAUUCCCUGACCCUGUGAAUAUGUGACCUUAGAUGGCAAAGAGGCAUUGCAGAUGUGAUUAAGGUUAGGGACCUUGGAAUGGGGAGACUGUCCUGCAUUAUUUGGAUAGGACUUAAAAGCAGAGAAUAUUGCCUGGUUAAGGUCAGCGAGAGAGAUGACUACUGAAGAAUGGACAGAGAUAUUUGGUGUUUCUGGCUUUGAAGAUGGAAGAAGAGAGCUACAAACCAAGAAAUAUGAGCAGCCUCUAGAAGUCUCUAGAAUCUGGAAAAGGCAAGGAAACAGAUUCUUCUCUAGAGCCUCCAGAGAGGAAUGCAGCCCUGCCUGCAUUUUAGCCUAGUGUGACCCAUCUCUGACUUCACCCACAGAACUGUAAAAUGAUAAAUGUGUGUGGGUUUUGUUGUUGUUGUUGUUGUUUUUGAGAUGGAGCUUCGCUCUUGUUGCCCAGGCUGGAGUGCAAUGGCAUGAUCUCGGCUCACUGCAACACCCACCUCCCGGGUUCAAGCGAUUCUCCUGCCUCAGCCUCCUGAGUAGCUGGGAUUACAGGCGUGUGCCACCAAGCCCGGCUAAUUUUGUAUUUUUAGUAGAGACAGGGUUUCUCCAUGUUGAUCAGGCUGGUCUCAAACUCCUGACCUCAGGUGAUCCACCUGCCUCGGCCUCCCAAAUUGCUGGGAUUACCUCGGCCUCCCAAGGUGCUAGGUGUGAGCCACUGUACCUGGCCAAAUGUGUGUUGUUUUAAGCCAUUAACUUUGUGGCAAUCUGCUGCUGCAGGAAUGGAAAACCAAUACAACGAGGCAAUGAUGAGCUGGUCAAAUCACCAUCCAAUCCCAGCAAAAGGAGAAUGAAAAUUCUCCAGUGGUUUGGGCAGGAUGGAGAUCCUUGGAGACCUUCAUGGUAUUAAAUAGUAGUUCAAUGAGGAUGAAAGCAGAUUGGAGUAGACUGAGGAGAACCUGAGAGGGUGGGGAGUAAAGUCUGGGAAUAGGUCCAUCCUUAGAGGAAAUUUGUUAGGAAAGAAAGCCAAGAAGUGUGUAUGUGGAGGGGAGGAGCAGAGGUGGGUGUGGGCUCAGGGGAGUCUGCUCUUAUUUCUUAAGAGAAGAGACAGUGCUGCAUGCUUGUAUGCUGGUAGGGAUGACCCAGGAGAGAGGCACAAAUGUGAUGAGCAAGACAGUCUGAGAUCUCUCUGGAAGUCCUCUACCCCACCCGUGAGUGCUCUGCAGCCAGGAACACAGGUAGAAGAUAGGCAGAAGACCAAUGCCUCAGCCCAGCCUCCCUGGAAGAUGAGGAUCUGUCCCAAACAGUGGGGACACAGGAAUCCCAAGUGGAGCCACUCCCUUCUCCAGGUUUGAUUCCGUAGCCCCUUGACCCAUCCUUUCCAUAACCUGUAUUCCAGGGGCUGUGAGGUCUCUUGGGCUUCCAUUUGCGUGCUUCCCUGAGCAGCAAGGCUGCAUCGAUCUUGUUCUUUGUGUUUCCCAGCCUUGUUGAGAUACAACACACCAAGGGCAUUUGAUAAAUGCUUUGUUAAAUAAUGAUAACGCCACCUCUGUUGAGCACUCACUCUGUGCCAGGGGCUUUACUAACCACAGGUGUGAUUUCACAUAAUCCUGACAAGCAGCCAAUCAUCUCCAUUUUAUAGGCAAACAAGUUGAAGCCCAGGGUUACAUGGUGGGUAGAUGGCAGGGUCAGGACUUGAACCCAGGCAGUCUCGCUCAAGAGGCCCCUCCCAUAACCAGCACACCACUUGGCCCAUGGCAGGUAACAACUGAAGGUUCUAAGGGAGCCCAGUGGAGGGGAGCUGAGGCCUUGGAGAUGACACCCGAGCUUGGGUUUGAAGGAUUAGGAAGACUUAGCCAGUGAAAAAGGUGGGAAGAGACCCCCUAAGUGAAGAGGAAAGCAUAAGCAAAUGUACCAAGGUGGGAGGUUCAUGCAGAGUGACAGGAAGCUCCCGAAGCUGCUUCCAUGUUGCUGUGUAAUCGGAAUGUGGAAACGAGAGGGGAUGCAGGGUGCAAAGACCAGCAAAGGAAAUCUGCUUUAUUUUGUAGGCAAUGGAAAGCCCUGAUGGAGCCCGGUGUAAACUAUGCAGGGUGCCAGAGCCCCCACUGACAGCGCUGGUGUCCACAUGUGGUCACAGGGAUACAGCGGCAGCAUCCCAAAGCCCUAGCCUGGUCCAUCACCCUCAAAACUGCCUCUGGUUUGUCCAAGUCUACCAGGAUUCAAGUUCAUUUCAGAAAAGCAGUGGCCAGAAACCAAGGCCUGGAGGGGGCUGGGGAGGUGUCAGGGAAGGGAUCAGAGGCCAAGCUCUGUGUUUCCUCAGACAAAGAGAGAAAGCAGGCUGAGAGAUGGCGGCAGCAUGUGACACCUGGGCCACAGGCCUGGGCAGCAGCCGUGGCAGCCAAGGGGAUAAUGGCUCUCUUUGUCCUGCGUGUAAAUUCUCCGGAAAAGAAAGGAUUCCAGGGCCUGCUUCUCCGGCUUGCACAAUGCUGGCCGCCUGGGGCCCCACUGCGAGGGCCUGCCAUGGCAUUCGGGGAGCAGUGAGGCCCCUUCUCUGUCUCGUUCCUUCCAGGCGUGCAGAAGCGGAAAGUCAGGCUGCCGUGCCAGACAUUCUGCAGGGGGUUGGGAGGCUGGGCUGAGGCACAGCCUGUGCCAGGAGCUUUGUUUCACAGCCUCGAGGAAACCAAAGCAUCUUGAAGCUCUGAAUUAGAAAGAGUCUUAGAGAGCAUCCAUGCCAGCUCUUCCUAAUACUUGUCCCACCCCCUACCUUCUCUGCCUACCACUCCCCACUCCCCUGCCUUCAGCAGCCAAGAAUGGUUACAAACACAGGCUUUGGAGUCAGAGAGGGCUGAGUUCAAAUGCUGACAAUGCCACUCACAAGCUAUUUCAUCUCUAUGGGCUUCAGUUUCUCCACCUGCAAAAUGGACAUAAUAGCACCUACUCAUAAGAUUGUCAAUAGGAAUAAGUGAGAAAAUGCAUGUACCAUGCUUAAUGUGGACACAGCCUCCAGAAGCGCUCAAUAAGGGUAGACGGUCCAGUAGGUCACCCAGCCUGUACUUGAUUUCCUCCAAGGGCAGGCAAUCACUGCUUGCAUUCCAUUUUCAGACCAAGUUCAAAUCUGUCUCUUAUACCCUCAUGGGUGCUGAGGGUAAAGGGGAGAGGGCCUACAUACAUUAAACAUUUCCUACAUGUUACUGUUGCCAUAAAUUACUCACAGAACUUAAGGGCCUGUCUUAGUCUAUUUGUGUUGCUAUAAAGGAAUACCCGAGGCUGGGUAAUUUAUAAAGACAAGAGGUUUAUUUGGCUCAUGGUUCUGCAGGCUGUACAAGAAGCAUGGAGCCAGCGUCUGGUCUGGUGAGGGCCUCAGGAAGCUUCCAUUCAUGGAAAGGGGAAGGAGAGCUAGUGUGCAGAGAUCACAUGCUAAGAGAGGAAUGGGGAGGGGGUGGUGCAGAGGUGCCAGGAUUUUUAGCAGCCAGCUCUCAUGAAAACUAAUAGAGUGAGAGCUCAUUUAUUACAAUGCAAGAAUGGCACCAAGCAAUUCAUGAGGGAUCAGCCACCAUGACACAAACACCUCCCAUGAGGCCCCACCUCCAGUAUUGGGGAUCACAUUUCAACAUGAGGGUUGGAGGGGUCAAAUAUCCAAACCAUAGCAGGGCCUGUCCAGGGCCACACAGAGGAAGUGACCAGGAUUUGAGCCUGAGUCUUUCCAGCCUUCUGCACCAUGAUGCCGUAAGGGAAAACUUUAUAUAUGUGAAAACAGCUCCACGGCCCCCUCAGUGUCUUCUCUUCCCCACAGAAAACAUCUCCUAGGCCUCAGGGUUUCGUUUUGUGUUCUGCCACCAUCCUGGCCCCUAUCCUCUUGACAGGCUCUAAUUUGUUACUGUCUCUCUUAAAUAAAUAGCUUGCAGACUUAUUCCAGCUGUCUUCUGACCAGUGCAGAAUAGGAAUGCACUCUCACCUCCUUUAUUCUAGGGGCUCUGUUUUUGCUAAUAACACCUAAGAUGAUGUGGCCCUUGGACCAUUCACAUUAUGCUGAUGGCUCUCUCAUACUUAAUGAUCUUCAAUCUGCAAGAAUAACAAGAGCCUUUGUGCUCUGAACAGCUCGUAGCAGUCAUUGCAGAUCUUCAUUUCAGGUAAUAGAACCUUCUUCAACUAGUUUAAGCAGUCAAGCCUUUUAUAUAUUUGGUGGCUCACAGAAUCUCCAGCAGGGCUGAAGAGUCAGGCGUGGAAGAGACACACCCAGGAACAACUCACCAACCACUCCUGACCCGGCUUCUCCACUGGAGACACCAUUGCCAUUAGACAAGAAUGAACCUGCACACCUUGCUGAUGCUGGUGUAGCACUGUCGCUAGAACCUCUGCCUCUGCUCCUCUUGGUCUCCCACAUUCAGUACCUCCUUCUUCACCUUGGUCUCUUCUAAGCCUCCGUGGGUGCAUUUCAGGGAUUAAAUGAGUUAAUAGAUGUAUAGUCAGCCUCCAACAUGGUUCCAGUAAUUCUCACCUCCUGGUAUUGUGUCUUUGUAUAGGCCCCUCCCACAAUGGAUAGGGCUGACCUGUGUAACCAACAGGAUGUUGCAGAAAUGACAUAGUGUGACUUCAACACUAAGUCACAUAAGACAUCGCAACUUCUGCCUUGCUCUUUUGGAGCACUUGUUGUAGGGAAAACCAGCUGCCAUGUCAUAAGGACACUUAAGCAAUGCUCUGGAGAGAUCUACAUGGCAAAGAACUGAGGCCUCCUGCCAACCCCCAGCACAAAUGAGCCAGGCAUGCAAGACAUCAUCUUGGAAAGGGAUCCUGCAGCCUCACUUGAGCCUUCAGAUGAUGCAGCUCCAGCUGACAUCUUGGCUGCAACCUCAUGAGGGACCCUGGGCCAGCACCACCCAGCCAAGCUGCUCCAGACACCUGAUCCACAAAAACUUUUGGUUUCAUGUACAGUCCUGCCUUACCCCGGUUGUCUUCCUUGUUGCCUGUGACCAUGUCUUCUCACUGUAUUUGGCCCCACACCUAGAGGAGCACCUUGAAACCAGUGGAGGGUCCACAGGAGCUGAAGGUGACGUGCCUUCUUUACCUGCCCUCUCAUCAUGCCAGCUGGACUGUUUCAAUGGGGAGAGUGCCUGGCACCACCGGGAACUUCAUCAGCAAGCAUAGGACCCCUGACAAGCAGCUGGCCGUCAGCGGAUUAGAAUGUCAAGGAGGAGAUCCAACUCUAAGCUGCCUGAAGCUGUCUUAGGGAGGAAGUGAAAGAACUGCAAGUGAGAGACACCAAAGCCUCGAAUGGGUUAAAUUGUGUGUCCCCACCAAAAAAUGUUCAAGUCCUAAUCCUCGAUACCUGCGCAUGUGACCCUAUUUGAAAAUAGUGCCUUUGCAGACGAUCAAGUUGAGGCCAUAAGGGUGAUCUCUACACCAGUAUGACUGUGUCCAUAUAAAAAGGGGAAAUUUGGACACAGAGACAGACAUGCACAUGGGGAGAAUGCCACAUGAAGGUGAAAACAGAGAUCAGUGUGAUGCAUCUACAAGCCCAACACCACCAAAGAUUGCCAGCAGACCACCAGGGGCUAGGAGAGAGGCAUGGGGCGGAUUCUCUUUUGCAGCCCUCAGAAGGAAACAGACCUACCGACACCUUGAUCUGGACUUCUAGCCUCCAGGACUAGAAGGGACAACACAUUUCUGUUGUUUAAGUUACCCAGUUGGUGGUGCUUUCUUAUGGCAGCUCAAGUUAACUAAUACAGCGGGGUAUACUAAAGACAGGACAACCCUCUCCUUCUUGCCAACUGUGUGACCCUUGACAAGUUACCUACCCUCUCAGGGGUGAAUUCCUUUUUUCUGUGUAAUGGAGUUUUUGCUUUUGUUUUCAAGACAGGGUCUCACUCUGUCACCCAAGCUGGAGUGCAGUGGCAUGAUCAUGGCUCACUGCAACCUCAAGCUCCUGGGCUCAAGCGAUUGUCCCCCCUCAGCCUCCCGAGUAGCUGGGACUACAUCACGCACCACCAUGCCUGGCUAAUUUUGUGGUGUUUUUUUUGUUUGUUUGUUUGUUUUGUUUUGUUUUGUUUGUAGAGACAGGGUUUCGUCAUGUUACCCAGGCUGCAAUGGAGUUAAUGCUAGUGACUACCACAGGAAGUUCAGUGAGAUGCUUAUGACACAAAUGCUCAGCAUGUCACAAAUGUCCAAAUCAGUCACCACUGGAGAUCAAAAGAGAAGGCCAUGAAAUUCAUGUUAUGUCUUUGUUUCCCCUUCAAAAUUCUAAAAUCUUUGUGGAGGAAAUGAUUCAAAAUACUGAAUCUCCAACAACACCAGAACAGUUCUCUGAACUCCAUAAAUGCUUAAUAAAUGUUUCUUAGUGAGGUGUGUUCCAAAUUAGGAUUUUAUUAGAGUAUUUAUUAGAGUAAGUUCUAUAAUAAGAGCUUUUUUUUUUUUUUUUUCUGAGAUAGAGUCUCGCUCUGUUGCCCAGGCUGGAGUGCAGUGGCUCAAUCUCAGCUCACUGCAACCUCCGCCUCCUGGGUUCAAGAGAUUCUCCUGCCUCAGCCUUCCAAGUAGCUGGGACUACAGGUAUAUACCACCAUGCCUAGCCAAUUUUUUUUUUUUUUUUUGUAUUUUUAGUAGAGACGAGGUUUCUAUGUUGGCCAUAUUGGCCAGGCUGGUCUUGAACUCCUGACCUCAAGUGAUCCUCCCGCCUCGGCCUCCCAAAGUGCUGGGAUUACAGGCGUGAGCCACCGCGCCCAGCCCUAUAAUAAGAUCUUGAUGCUUUUGCAUCCUCAGUCCUGUCACAGUGUCUGCCACACUUAAGAUGUUCAAUAAAUAUUGAUUAAUUAGUAUUGAAUAAACAAAUUAACCUCAUGGGGCACAUGAUUUGGCCUGUAGGAUAAUUGAAUCUAUGGUAAGGGGCAUUGUUUUAUCAAGAAGUAAUUUUAGCCAGUUCCUGUUAUGAUCUUAAACUGGGGAAAUACAAAACAAUAAGAUAAGGCUUAUUGAACAUUUACUCUGUUGGAUCCUGAAGCUUCAUUCAGAUUAUCAUUUGCAUCCCUUAAAACAACAACAUCAACUACAGCUCUUAUUUUCAUUUUGCCAAUGUAGAAACUGAGGCUCAGAGAGAUUAAAAACCUUCUCCAAAA
Molecule: long non-coding RNA, 7591 nt
Filed under: Homo sapiens (human)
Lineage: Eukaryota; Metazoa; Chordata; Mammalia; Primates; Hominidae
Description: HSALNT0349662
Source: RNAcentral